RNAcentral lists this unclassified non-coding RNA (229 nucleotides) under plant metagenome. RNAcentral's name for it is "partial contains small subunit ribosomal RNA, internal transcribed spacer 1, and 5.8S ribosomal RNA". The record is from RNAcentral.
UCUCCGUAGGUGAACCUGCGGAGGGAUCAUUACAGAGUUCUCGCCCUCGCGGGUGGAUCUCCCACCCACUGUUAUCGUUACUGUGUUGCUUUGGCGGGCCGCCGGGCCCCGCUCGGCCGCCGGCUCCGGCUGGCGCGCGCCCGCCAGAGGCCCAGCAAACUCUGAAUGUUAGUGUCGUCUGAGUACUAUAUAAUAGUUAAAACUUUCAACAACGGAUCUCUUGGUUCUG